GCCAGUAGUGAUAUGCUUGUCUCAAAGAUUAAGCCAUGCAUGUGCAAGUUCACCCCCUCGGAGGGGAAGACUGCGGAUGGCUCAUUAAAUCAGCCGUUGUUUGUUUGGUCCUGACCGACGUUGGAUCAUAACUGUGGCAAUUCUAGAGCUAAUACAUGCACGAUAGGCGCCGAUCCCCCGUUCCCCCUCGCCGGGGAAGGGUGUUUGGAGAGGCGUGCUUUUAUUAGACAAGACCUUUGUCCGCCCCUCUUCGGGUCGGGGGGCGAGGCAAGCCGUGUUGACUCUGGAUAACUCAUGCGGAUCGCACCGGGCGAGGGUGUGCCCGGCGACACACCAUUUAGGCGUCUGACCCAUCAGCUAGUCGGCCGGAGCUGUGCCGGCCGAGGACGCGACGGGUAACAGAGAAUCAGGGUUCGAUUCUGGAGAGGGAGCCUGAGAAACGGCUACCACUUCCAAGGAAGGCAGCAGGCGCGAAAAUUACCCACUCCCGACUCGGGGAGGUAGUGACGAGAAAUGACGGUAGGCGUCUCUUACCACGAGGCUGUCAGACUGGAAUGAGGUGAACGUAAAGCACUCCUAUGAUAUCUAGUUGAGGGCAAGUCUGGUGCCAGCAGCCGCGGUAACUCCAGCUCAACUAGCGUAUACGAAAGUUGUUGCAGUUAAAAGGCUCGUAGUUUGUGUUUAGCCCACGUGCAGCGGUCCGAGGCCCGGCUCUCGUCGUAGCCCUGGUCGUUCGGCGCUGUCGGGCUGGUCUCAGGCGGGUCUCCGUAAAGGGCGGACUGCCGCGCUCGGCUCAACGGCAACGGGGACGCGAGAACGGGGUUUGGAGCGGCAGAAAGAGGUGUCCCGGCAAGGCACCCCCCUCCCCCCGGCCGCAAGGUUGCCCCGGGUGGUCCGCCCCCUACUCGCCGGCUUUACUUUGACGAAAUUAGGGUGUUCAAGGCAGGACUGAGGAAGAGCCUGCAUAAUGUUGCUUGGAAUAAUGGGAAAGACGUCCGGCUCUUUUCUGCUGGUCUCGAGAGCAUGGAGUCACGAUGAAUAGGGGCAGUCGAGGGCGAAAGUACUCGGGCGUGAGAGGUGAAAUUUGUGGACCGCCGGAGGACUGACGUAAGCGAAAGCAUUCGCCUAGAAUGUCUCCGUUAAUCAGGAACGAAAGUUUGGGUAGCGAAGACGAUCAGAUACCGUCUUAGUCCGGACCGUAAACUAUGCCGACUGGCGAUCGGCCGGUAAUGCAACUCGCGACCCCUCAAGUUGGCUCGGCCGGCAGCCUCCGGGAAACUCGCAAGUGUCUGGGUUCCGGGGGAAGUAUGGUUGCAAAGCUGAAACUUAAAGGAAUUGACGGAAGGGCACCACCAGGAGUGGAGCUUGCGGCUUAAUUUGACUCAACGCAGGGCAACUUACCGGGGCCCGACGCCGUCAGGAUUGACAGUCCGAUAGCGCUUUCUAGAUUCGGUGGGUGGUGGUGCAUGGCCGUUCUUAGUCCGUGGAGCGAUCCGUCAGGUUGAUUCCGGGAACGGACGAGACUCUGCCCUCUCUUAUUCGGUAUGGCGGUGACAAUGAGCCGUCGGGCUAAAGGCAAACUUCUUAGAGGGACGGGUGGCGCGUGUGAGCUUCAGGAAGCGGGAGCCAUAACAGGUCUGUGAUGCCCUUUGAUGUUCGGGGCCGCACGCGUGCUACACUGAGAGAGGCAACGUGGUUGCUCGCAAGGAACCGGGUCCGCGAGGGCCUUCCGUCGUCCCGUUGGACGUGGAAACCUCCCAGUCUCUGUCGUGCUAGGGCUUAGGGGUUGAAACUGUCCCCUAUCAACGAGGAAUUCCGAGUAAGCGUUGGUCACCAUCCGGCGUUGAUUGUGUCCCUGCCCUUUGUACACACCGCCCGUCGCUACCACCGAGCUAGAGGUUUGGCAAGCCUGCCGGAGCCGGCCUGGCCGCUCCGUCGGGUCCGCGACAGGGUGAAGUGGGCGGAAGACGCGUCUCUUCCGUCCGUCCCCCUGCAGGACAAGGCGGAGCGGCAGUGUGGUACCGCGCGAAGGUAGUCGAGCUUGACCGCUUCGAGGAGGUAAAAGUCGUAACAAGGUUGCCGUAGGUGAAC
This 2091-nucleotide ribosomal RNA is filed under the name Trypanobia cryptica. RNAcentral's name for it is "bacterial SSU rRNA". It matches the Rfam family "Eukaryotic small subunit ribosomal RNA". Lineage: Eukaryota; Metazoa; Annelida; Polychaeta; Phyllodocida; Syllidae. The record is from RNAcentral.